UACGGGGGGGGCAAGCGUUGUUCGGAAUUACUGGGCGUAAAGGGCUCGUAGGCGGCCAACUAAGUCGGACGUGAAAUCCCCAGGCUCAACCUGGGAACUGCGUCCGAUACUGGAUGGCUUGAAUUCGGGAGAGGGAUGCAGAAUUCCAGGUGUAGCGGUGAAAUGCGUAGAUAUCGGGAGGAACACCAGUGGCGAAGGCGGCGAUCUGGGUCGAUACUGACGCUGAGGUGCGAAAGCGUGGGGAGCAAACAGG
This 253-nucleotide ribosomal RNA is filed under the name uncultured bacterium. RNAcentral's name for it is "partial 16S ribosomal RNA". It matches the Rfam family "Bacterial small subunit ribosomal RNA", at positions 524 to 776 of the family's 1533-position model. The record is from RNAcentral.